GCCAGCAUGGUAUAGUGGUUUGAAUGUUGGACUAGGACUCUGGAAACCAGGGUUCGAAUCCCUGCUCAACCA
Phrynosoma platyrhinos (Desert horned lizard) is the source of this 72-nucleotide non-coding RNA. Lineage: Eukaryota; Metazoa; Chordata; Lepidosauria; Squamata; Phrynosomatidae. The record is from the annotation of a GenBank genome assembly.